AAGACUGUACUCACUAGGAUCAUUUCUAUAGUAUAUGUCUUUCCUACUUACGACCUAAGUAGCAACGAACACAAACCAUGAUGAUGAGGUGUAGUUUCCUCCUCUGAGCGUGAAGUAGGUCUCAGGUGAGUCUCCAUUUAUAAGGAGCAGGACCUGAGACAUUGAGGAGUGUUCAUUUGUCCUCCUUUGUGAGAGGACAAGGAGGGGGAGGAAACAUCCAGAGUGGU
Molecule: small nucleolar RNA, 227 nt
Organism: Gigantopelta aegis
Lineage: Eukaryota; Metazoa; Mollusca; Gastropoda; Neomphalida; Peltospiridae
Product: small nucleolar RNA U3
Exons: 1
Source: RefSeq, a predicted model, not a curated record